Molecule: long non-coding RNA, 230 nt
Filed under: Nicotiana benthamiana
Lineage: Eukaryota; Viridiplantae; Streptophyta; Magnoliopsida; Solanales; Solanaceae
Description: long non-coding RNA (NBEN_LNC041695)
Source: RNAcentral
CCCUCUUCUUCAUUUCUUGACUCAAUACUCAUUUCUCAGUCUCAAUUUUUCUCGUUCUCUCAUUCUCCAAUUUGCAAGACUUCGUCUCAAUCUCAAAUUCUCAAUUCUCAAAUCUCAAGUUAAAUCAUGGCUCGUACUUCUAGAGUGCGCUCAUAUGUUUGGCAAUACUUUGAGGUGGUAGAAGAAAAUGAAGAAGGUCAUAAAGUAAAGUGCAAGAACUGUGGUCAAGU